RNAcentral lists this ribosomal RNA (444 nucleotides) under uncultured bacterium. RNAcentral's name for it is "partial 16S ribosomal RNA". It matches the Rfam family "Bacterial small subunit ribosomal RNA", at positions 338 to 795 of the family's 1533-position model. The record is from RNAcentral.
CCUACGGGAGGCAGCAGUGGGGAAUAUUGGGCAAUGGAGGCAACUCUUACCCAGCAAUGCCGCGUGAAUGAAGAAGGUCUUCGGAUUGUAAAGUUCUUUAAUUGGGGACGAAAAAAAUGACGGUACACAAGGAAUAAGCCCCGGCUAACUACGUGCCAGCAGCCGCGGUAAUACGUAGGGGGCAAGCGUCGUUCGGGAUGACUGGGCGGAAAGGGGGUGGCGGCGGUGUAGCAAGUUAGAAGUGAAAUCCCUAGGGCUUAACUCAGGUGCUGCUUCUAAAACUGCUAGACUUGAGUGCAGUAGAGGAAAGUGGAAUUCCUAGUGUAGCGGUGGAAUGCGUAGAUAUUAGGAGGAACAUCAGUGGCGAAGGCGACUUUCUGGACUGUAACUGACGCUGAGGCACGAAAGUGUGGGGAGCAAACAGGAUUAGAUAUCCGUGUAGUC